This 694-nucleotide ribosomal RNA is filed under the name Aerococcus urinaeequi. RNAcentral's name for it is "bacterial SSU rRNA". It matches the Rfam family "Bacterial small subunit ribosomal RNA", at positions 65 to 741 of the family's 1533-position model. Lineage: Bacteria; Bacillati; Bacillota; Bacilli; Lactobacillales; Aerococcaceae. The record is from RNAcentral.
AGCGAACAGAUGAAGUGCUUGCACUUCUGACGUUAGCGGCGAACGGGUGAGUAACACGUAAGGAAUCUACCUAUAAGCGGGGGAUAACAUUCGGAAACGGGUGCUAAUACCGCAUAAUAUCUUCUUCCGCAUGGAAGAAGAUUGAAAGACGGCUCUGCUGUCACUUAUAGAUGACCUUGCGGUGCAUUAGUUAGUUGGUGGGGUAACGGCCUACCAAGACGAUGAUGCAUAGCCGACCUGAGAGGGUGAUCGGCCACAUUGGGACUGAGACACGGCCCAAACUCCUACGGGAGGCAGCAGUAGGGAAUCUUCCGCAAUGGGCGAAAGCCUGACGGAGCAAUGCCGCGUGAGUGAAGAAGGCCUUCGGGUCGUAAAACUCUGUUAUAAGAGAAGAACAAAUUGUAGAGUAACUGCUACAGUCUUGACGGUAUCUUAUCAGAAAGCCACGGCUAACUACGUGCCAGCAGCCGCGGUAAUACGUAGGUGGCAAGCGUUGUCCGGAUUUAUUGGGCGUAAAGGGAGCGCAGGUGGUUUCUUAAGUCUGAUGUGAAAGCCCACGGCUUAACCGUGGAGGGUCAUUGGAAACUGGGAAACUUGAGUACAGAAGAGGAAUGUGGAACUCCAUGUGUAGCGGUGGAAUGCGUAGAUAUAUGGAAGAACACCAGUGGCGAAGGCGACAUUCUGGUCUGUUACU